AAAAUAAAUAAACGAAUAAAUUUACAAACAUAUACAUAAAUGUAUAUGUUCAUAUAUCAGAAUAUUUACAUUUAACUUCGAGUUUAACUCUUUUCAAUGCACGAGGUGGAACUCCAUUAUCAGCUACACAGAUCCUAUAGGAAUGACAGCACCGUCACUUCUAAACCACUGAACAGUAGGUUGAGGCUUGCCACUUGCUGCACAUUUUAAUCGCAAAUUAGUUCCCUCAUCAACAGAAAUUACGCCAGUUGAAGAAUUUAAUGUUGAAGAUAAUAUCUGAUCAUCUAAAAAAUUGUUUAAAGAGUGUCUUGUUUGAGCAAGUAAAUUUUCAAAGCUGUUAUCCCUGGUCUGCCAUCUUGUCCUGGUGAGCCUGGUCUACCAGGAGGACCCAUUUCUCCUAAAGUUGUU
Frieseomelitta varia is the source of this 408-nucleotide long non-coding RNA. RefSeq lists it as uncharacterized. The record is from RefSeq and is a predicted model, not a curated record. Lineage: Eukaryota; Metazoa; Arthropoda; Insecta; Hymenoptera; Apidae. The transcript is spliced from 3 exons.